UCCCAAUGGGUUGGAGAUCAGCAUAUACAAUCUCAUUGUUCCUGGUUGUCUGGAAAGAUAAAGAAAAAAGGCCUUGGCCUGCCUCAUUAGAUGACUUUGGGCAUUGGAAGAGAUGGUCUCAACCUAGGGAGUUUAGAAGACUUGUCCAAGAUCACAUAGACAUUGAAUGUCAAAGGGGCAGAUGACCUCCCUCCAUGGUUUGAAGUAAAAGGUAAAAUCUUGCUCUCUUUUCUUGAGAGUGGGGAGGUGCAGUGACAAGGUGUUAAUUCUCCCUCUCCACCUUUGUCAGACAGGGGUGGGCCUCCUGAGGAUGGAGCCUGGAGAAGCAUGUGUCCAGGCUAGGGUGUUGAGGCCUUGGGUCAAGGAUUUUGGGAAAUGUAUUGGGCCCAGUGGUAGAAACUUUUUCCUGGGAAGAAGGCAGGCAUGUUAAGGAAAAAGCAAACUCCUUGUUAGGGUGGGGUACCCCAGCACCCGAGACAU
Phascolarctos cinereus (koala) is the source of this 480-nucleotide non-coding RNA. The record is from RefSeq and is a predicted model, not a curated record. Lineage: Eukaryota; Metazoa; Chordata; Mammalia; Diprotodontia; Phascolarctidae.